UGUCCGUGAUGAAUUUAAAAUUAAGAGUAGUGGACAGAAGUCAUUUCUGAUUAAAUGUAUUCUGAGACU
Nerophis lumbriciformis (worm pipefish) is the source of this 69-nucleotide non-coding RNA. The record is from RefSeq and is a predicted model, not a curated record. NCBI's taxonomy places the organism in Eukaryota, Metazoa, Chordata, Actinopteri, Syngnathiformes, Syngnathidae.